Camelus dromedarius (Arabian camel) is the source of this 186-nucleotide long non-coding RNA. RefSeq lists it as uncharacterized. NCBI's taxonomy places the organism in Eukaryota, Metazoa, Chordata, Mammalia, Artiodactyla, Camelidae. The transcript is spliced from 3 exons. The record is from RefSeq and is a predicted model, not a curated record.
CUUCAAAGUUCAGGAGUCUCCUAAGUGUCAUGAAAGAGGAAACAAUGCUGCAUGCUGGUGGGGAAUGGGAUCUAUUGUUUCUCCAGGAACCACCUAAAGCAUGAUAAAACGGCCCAAGAUUAGAAGGUGUCCUCCAACUGGGUUUGCAGCAGCAAUGAUGGAAGUUCUUGCAGGGAGGCUACAAAC